RNAcentral lists this long non-coding RNA (701 nucleotides) under Macaca mulatta (Rhesus monkey). RNAcentral's name for it is "lncRNA (ENSMMUG00000053339.1)". Lineage: Eukaryota; Metazoa; Chordata; Mammalia; Primates; Cercopithecidae. The record is from RNAcentral.
GAAAGAAGACUCAAAAUAAGAAGUAACCACAAAAUAAGAGACAGAGAAUGCUGAUUCACUAUGCAGUGAAACAUGCCUAACGUGUCAACAGCUAAUGCCCGGUGACAGAGUGGUUGUCUGGGCAACAGAAGAAGUCACCCACGCAAACACUUAAAGAAUACUUGCUGAAAAGCCGGUAUCUCAUAAAAGACAAAUGCAUGAAACUACCAGGAACUUAGGAAGUCCAAGGGAAUCUGAGAAAAAUCAUAACUUGAAAUUAGGAUCAUCCUCUGCAUGUGAAGGAACAGAGAAGCACUCAGCUCUACCCUUUGGAGCAGGGGAUUGGACAGCAUGAGCCUUCAAUCAUAUCUCUUGGAUGACCAAGGAAGGCUGGAUUUGUGCACCUAAAAAAUGGAAGCACAAACUGUACAACAAAUAUUCUCCGUUCAAGUUGAAGUUCUCAAAUAAGGUAUCCAAUUAACUGAUAUAUUAAUAACAUUUAAAAUAAUAAUCUCAUAGGAAGAUUCCAAAAGUUUCUGAUUUUAUAUCUAGCAAAGACUUCAUAAACUAUGUUUGAUUUGUAUGUAGAACUCAGGGUGAACAUGCCAAUGACAGUGGCAAUGAGAGGGGUAACUGGGGGCCAGAAGUAGUCUGAGGGAGAGGAGAGGAGGGGGUAGAGCAUGCUCAGGGAACCAUGAGCCAUGCAGGAUAAGCAACAGGGC